Long non-coding RNA from Anolis carolinensis (green anole), 436 nucleotides. RefSeq lists it as uncharacterized. Lineage: Eukaryota; Metazoa; Chordata; Lepidosauria; Squamata; Anolidae. The transcript has 2 exons. The record is from RefSeq and is a predicted model, not a curated record.
AUAUUUUAUUCCCUUAUUUUCCAUGGCAACAAGAAGGCAUCUAGCUUCAGGACAGGUCUCUGCCCAAAGGACCUUCCAGUUCUGAGCUUGAGAAAAAGCAGAGGGCAAAGACAAAUCCGGAGAAAUAAAGUGAAUAUAAAGCAGUGCGGCCGUGAAUCUGGUUCUACUGAAACACAAGGGCUGAUGAAAAACAAAGAUCAGCUUUCUACUUCCACCCCACCCUUGCGUAAUAUUCAAAGAUUCCUCCUUUGAAGAUCACACAUUGAACUGAGCAAGCCAGUCAGAGAGCCUUCUCUGGUGUGGUUUUUUUCCCAGUGGCAGACACACCCCACCAAAACAUCUUCAACCUCCUCUCAUAUAAUAACAUUCACAUUAUGAUGCUUCAAGCCCUGAGGUGUGUAUACGUGCGUAUGUCAGGAAUAAAUUAAUAACACAC